CAAGAAAGUGCCUGCUCCAGAAGAAGUUGUUCCUGCUGAACUAUGAAUUUGUUGUGUUUCUUGUGUUUCCUUAUGUUGCUAGACUUUGCAUGGGCCCAGCAGGUGGCCAUAACCAAAGAUAACCAUGUCUACACUUUUUGGUACAAUUCUUCAAACACAGAUGUAGCUACUUUUACUUUUGAUUACUGUGAUAUUGUUACUUGCACCUUCCCACAAACACAAUAUCCUGCUAUAUACAAGGACAUCCCCGGUAAGAAAGACCCAUACAUUUGUGUGACUGGAGGGUCCUGGGGACAUCAUUGUAGUUCAUGGAAGGCGGCUGGGUGGAACACAGGUAGACCAUGGGGCUAUAGGCCCCAGAUUGCCCUAGAUAGAAUUGACAAAGACGGGAAACCCCGGGUCAACCCCCCAUCAAACUCACACUGAACAUAGAGCAUCCUAGUCCAAAGGAUGCGGGGGAAUAUGUAAUGGGCAUGUACUGGAAGGAAGGUGGCUCAUACAAUAAGUUGGGGACGUUCUAUCUGCAAGAUAUGCUUACCUCACUUGACUGGGUAGGAACUACUCACAUGACUGUUAACCCACUGAAACCACAUAUCAAGACUUUAUAUGAUAUGGUAGCCAUAGCCAAUCCUACUUUCGAAGACACGAUGGCAGUGGAAACUGGGUUCUCAGACACUAACUUAUGGCUGGAAUGGAUGAGAUAUAAUGCUAAUUCACACAAUAAGACUAAUUGUUAUGUAUUUGGAGGAGCCAGGCCCCACCUGGGUACGGUACCCUUAAACCUACCACCCGAUGUUGAAUUAUGUGUCUUGAGUCUCUAUGCACAAUCCACUACUAAUUCUUCAACGUGUGAGUCAUGGAAAAAGGUCUACCCAAUCAUCCAGGGGCACGUUAGACCACCUGACGGAGUCACGGUAUACCCAGGUAAUUACACUUGUUAAUCAAUAUCUAAGAACACUGGUACACUCAUGGGCAAAUUCCCAUCUGGUUAUUGCUCCACCUAUCAUAAUCCACCCAUAGCAUUAUUAAUGAAUCAUGCAAAAACAGUUGGGGACAUAUAUUGGCUAUGUGGAAAUAAACAACUAAGAUCCCAACUGGCGGGACUAUGGUGGGGAGAAUGUACUUUGACCAAAGCCAUAAUGCCCAUCCACAUUAUCCCGGAUGGCUAUCACAAUGCGUUAAACCCCGCACACACACACUCCAGAGCCAGGAGGGAAGCCCCAAUCUGAGGAAGCUUUGAUCCACAUGUUUGUAUUGAUGCCAUUGGUGUGCCAAGGUUGGUGCCCAACGAAUUCAAGGCAAGGGAUGAAGUGGCAGCCGGGUUUGAAUCUUUGAUUCCAAUGAUUACUGUUAAUAAGAAUGUCAAUUGGAUUAACUACAUCUAUUACAAUCAGCAGCGGUUUGUUAACUAUACCAGGGAUGCCCUACAGGGCCUAGCAGAACAACUACAAGCCACCACUCAAACGACAUUUCAAAAUAGAAUGGCUCUGGAUAUGAUCUUAGCAGAAAAGGGGGGCG
Molecule: non-coding RNA, 1518 nt
Organism: Pelobates cultripes (western spadefoot toad)
Lineage: Eukaryota; Metazoa; Chordata; Amphibia; Anura; Pelobatidae
Source: the annotation of a GenBank genome assembly